RNAcentral lists this transfer RNA (76 nucleotides) under Candidatus Marinamargulisbacteria bacterium SCGC AAA071-K20. RNAcentral's name for it is "tRNA-His". It matches the Rfam family "tRNA". Rfam says of the family: Transfer RNA (tRNA) molecules are approximately 80 nucleotides in length. Their secondary structure includes four short double-helical elements and three loops (D, anti-codon, and T loops). Lineage: Bacteria; Bacillati; Candidatus Margulisiibacteriota; Candidatus Marinamargulisbacteria. The record is from RNAcentral.
GUGGAUGUAGCUCAGUUGGUAGAGCCCCUGGUUGUGGUCCAGGAUGUCGUGGGUUCGAGCCCCAUCGUUCACCCCA